This 468-nucleotide ribosomal RNA is filed under the name uncultured bacterium. RNAcentral describes it as "partial 16S ribosomal RNA". It matches the Rfam family "Bacterial small subunit ribosomal RNA", at positions 28 to 507 of the family's 1533-position model. The record is from RNAcentral.
GACGAACGCUGGCGGCGUGCUUAACACAUGCAAGUCGAACGGAAAGGCCCUGCUUUUGUGGGGUGCUCGAGUGGCGAACGGGUGAGUAACACGUGAGUAACCUGCCCUUGACUUUGGGAUAACUUCAGGAAACUGGGGCUAAUACCGGAUAGGAGCUCCUGCUGCAUGGUGGGGGUUGGAAAGUUUCGGCGGUUGGGGAUGGACUCGCGGCUUAUCAGCUUGUUGGUGGGGUAGUGGCUUACCAAGGCUUUGACGGGUAGCCGGCCUGAGAGGGUGACCGGGCACAUUGGGGCUGGGAUACGGGCCAGACCCCUACGGGGGGGAGAAGGGGGGGAUAAUGCAAAAAGGGGGGGAGCCUGAUGCAGGAACGCCGGGGGGGGGGUGGCGGCCUUCGGGGUGUAAACCGCUUUCGCCGGUGAAGGAGGGGGGGUGACGGUGAUGGGGAAAGAAACCACGGCUAAAUACGGG